RNAcentral lists this long non-coding RNA (896 nucleotides) under Homo sapiens (human). Its description in RNAcentral is "non-protein coding lnc-NAIF1-4:1". The record is from RNAcentral. Lineage: Eukaryota; Metazoa; Chordata; Mammalia; Primates; Hominidae.
CUCCUGAGUAGCUGGGACUACAGGCGCCCGCCACCACGCCUGGCUAAUUUUUGUAUUUUUAGUAGAAACGGGAUUUCACCGUGUUAGCCAGGAUGGUCUCGAUCUCCUGACCUUGUGAUCCGCCCAACUCGGCCUCCCAAAGUGCUGGGAUUACAGGCGUGAGCCACCGCGCCUGGCCUUGCCUGUUUCUUUUUACAAAAGAAGCCAGAAUUCCAGGUUUUAACAGGAAGCUCCCAGUUUACACAUAUUGACUACUAAGUAUUUGUAAGCCUCCUAUAAGACAAACAAAACACUCCGGUGGGCUGGCUUCAGUCCAUGAAAAUCUGUUUGCAAGUUCCAGACCUUAACCAUUUGGGGCCAGUUGUAGCCCACUGGGAGGAACCAGAGGUAGGCAGCUGGAGGCAGAGGUUGGUAGCCAGGUGGCCUGGGUGCCAGACCCCUUUUCCCCUGCACCUCACUCUCCCCAUCCAUACAAGGUGGGGUUGGCCAUCUGAGCUACAAUGGUCCCUAGUAAGGAUGCCUCCUCCUUUGCCCAGGCUGGCCUGACUCACUGGGACAACUAGGCUGGGCUUUUUGCUUUGCUCUCAGCUGAGUCAGUGUGGAUGCAUGCUGGCAAUAAUACAUGACAGGCCACCUGCCUGUCAGGAAUCAAGCGCGAAAGAGAACUGGCUGCCACAAGGAAUCCCACUGAGGCUGAGGCCAAGGUGGGGUCCAACAGUGUCCUGAUCUUCCCGAAUUUUUUUUUCUUAAGACAGAGUCUCACUCCAUCACCCAGGCUGGAGUGCAGUGGCAUGAUCUUGGCUCACUGCAACCUUCACCUCCCGGGUUCAAGCGAUUCUCCUGGCUCAGCCUCCCAAGUAGCUGCGAUUACAGUCAUGUACCAUCACGCCUGGAUA